AGAGAAUGAUAGUAUUUCAGUUACGUUGAAAGAGACCUUUAUUGGCAUUCUUU
Molecule: transfer RNA, 53 nt
Filed under: Pseudoniphargus triasi
Lineage: Eukaryota; Metazoa; Arthropoda; Malacostraca; Amphipoda; Allocrangonyctidae
Description: tRNA-Val
Source: RNAcentral